Molecule: ribosomal RNA, 506 nt
Filed under: uncultured bacterium
Lineage: Bacteria
Description: partial 16S ribosomal RNA
Rfam family: Bacterial small subunit ribosomal RNA
Source: RNAcentral
AUUGAACGCUGGCGGCAGGCCUAACACAUGCAAGUCGAACGGUAACAGGAAACAGCUUGCUGUUUCGCUGACGAGUGGCGGACGGGUGAGCAAUGUCUGGGAAACUGCCUGAUGGAGGGGGAUAACUACUGGAAACGGUAGCUAAUACCGCAUAACGUCGCAAGACCAAAGAGGGGGACCUUCGGGCCUCUUGCCAUCGGAUGUGCCCAGAUGGGAUUAGCUAGUAGGUGAGGUAACGGCUCACCUAGGCGACAAUCCCUAGCUGGUCUGAGAGGAUGACCAGCCACACUGGAACUGAGACACGGUCCAGACUCCUACGGGAGGCAGCAGUGGGGAAUAUUGCACAAUGGGCGCAAGCCUGAUGCAGCCAUGCCGCGUGUAUGAAGAAGGCCUUCGGGUUGUAAAGUACUUUCAGCGGGGAGGAAGGGAGUAAAGUUAAUACCUUUGCUCAUUGACGUUACCCGCAGAAGAAGCACCGGCUAACUCCGUGCCAGCCGCCGCCGUAA